CACAUGUCACUUCAUUAGGACUGCAGAAUGUUAGCUUGCAGCUCACUUCGGAAGGAAAAACAAAACAAAAACACUUUUGUUAUGAAAAUAACAAACUGCAUUUCGACUGCUAUAUUGUCAAGGAUUAGGUAUUGUAUUUUCUUACCUUGAAAGCAUUAGGAAUUGUAGCCCCUAUCUUGUCAAGAAUGAUACCUCCUGAUAGAGUUCCAAGGAUUCCACACACUAGUUAUUCCACCAAACAUAAGAUCUGCACUCACCUGAUGAAAAAAAUUCAAUGAGAAAGGUUACACAGUGAACAGAGAAUGUACUCAGUUGUGAUAUUGUGAAAUAGAGUAUUAAUCUAGAUCAGUGCAAAACUGGACUUAAAUUGUGGUCCAUCGAGAUUGAACAGUCUUUUUUAAAUAAGAAAUGUACAAUGGUCACACAUCUAAUAUAUGAUUAUAUGUAAUAUGCCAAGAUAUUGCCACAUGUGAGUGAAAGACAGGACUUCUACCAUAUUGUAUAUCUGUUGGCCCGCCUUGGGGCCCCAGUAGGAAUAAGCACCAAUGACAAAGUUAUAGGAGAUGUAACCUGAAAUAAUAUAGGGACAGGAAACUUCAGAAUCAUAAGUAGAUGUACAAAAUGUGUGGAACAGACAAGACAUUGAGAGGACAAUCUGACCUAAGACAAUGAUGAAAAAAGGCAUCUCUUGUAGUUCUUUCAUAUCUUUGCCGAAACGACCAAUUUCAGUCAUGAGACUCUGGCCAAACGUGGAGCUGCAGGAUCAAAACAGAGAUGUGUUUAGAUAGAUCAUUAUAAGGUCCAGAAAAGUCUAGUCUUAAAUUAUACUUGGUCACUGCUCUGAAUUUUAAAUAGAAGGAAAUUCAAAAUAAGCUAACAUCCUUAGCAAAACACCUGCCUUACUACUUAAAUUACUUGUCUUAUGAAUUGUUUGAGAUGCUUAUGAAUGCCAAGCUAGUCUUAAAUUAUUUAUCUUACGAACUAUUUGAGAUGGUUAUAAAAGCCAAGCUAGUUCAAUUCAUCAUAAAAUUAGAUCUGCAGCUCAGAAUUGUUUGUUUUACAAAGAUGAACAGAAGCACAAGAAGAUCAGAAUCCAGAAGAAUUUCAGCAUAUAAAGAACAACUUGCUCCAAUGGGGACUAUUCUUCUAUGUUCUACCAAAAAGCAAAAUUGCAACAAAAAAACUGUUAUUGUCCAAUGGGAUUAUAAAAAUUGACACAAGGCACACACUUAUCUGAUCUUGAACCUCAGGAUUAAGCAUCUGGCUGUAUUCUUUUGUUCUGUUCUGAGCAAAUCCUAGUAAACAAAAUCCCCAGCCCCCAAAGAGGCACAAAAAGCGAAAAACAUCAGGUACCACAGGAUGACAAUUACAAAAUGCUGUAUAGUGGAGCUGUUUGCUUAGUUAUAACAAUAACUGUAAGAAAAGAAAGGCAUACCUUUCAGCCAUUGCCUUGCCAUGUGAUCCUCCUCCUUCCCUUCACCUCCGUAUUAUUAUUAGCAGCAGCAGCAGCAGCGCGUAGCAAUUAAGAGCACCACCAGCCACCAAGCAGCAGCAGGCUCCCGCACCAGUUGCAGCUUGCCACCUUCCUCUUUGCUUCUUCUGCACCAAUCAACGACGAGGAGGGGAU
Molecule: long non-coding RNA, 1627 nt
Filed under: Setaria italica (foxtail millet)
Lineage: Eukaryota; Viridiplantae; Streptophyta; Magnoliopsida; Poales; Poaceae
Description: long non-coding RNA (SITA_LNC002296)
Source: RNAcentral